UUCCUCAAAUAGAUUUUCCACAAUUCUGGUUAAGCUUUUCCUAGCAUCUUGGGUUUUUAUUGCUAUUAUCACAGAUUUUCUUAUAGUUAGAUCUUAAAUCUGAUGGUUGUUUGUAUAUGUGAAAGCUAUGGAUUUCCUCCUAAUUUUAAACCAAUCUCAAGCUUACAGAGAAGUUGCAAGUAUAAUACAAAGAACUUUUAUUUUCUUGAGCCAUUUGAGAGUGAAGUUACUGACAUGGUGCUCUGUCACUUCCGAAAUACUUUGGUGUGUAAUUCCUACAAACAAGGAUGCUCUUACAUAACCACAUUCCAGUCAUCAAACCCAGGAAAUUAAUAUUCAUAUCAUCAAUACCAACUAAUCUUUAGACAUAUAAUCAUUAGCUUUCUAUGUUUUCUUAUUAUAUUAGUCCCCACAGAGAUUUAUAUAACAAAUCUCCCAUAUCCCCAUCCUCCUCUAAAUGGGUCUCCUCCUCGCUCCAUGUAGGCUCUGGCAUUCCACAUGAAUGGCCCCUUUGUGCCAAAACCCAACUCACCGUAAUCAGCUGGUUCUGACAAAUUGCACCAGCCUGCCCCCCUGUAAAGGGCGUUGUCUCCCGACUUGAGCUCCAAUACCAGCUACUAGGUCAGCCCCUUGUGUGAACCUGCUCAGCCAACUUGGGCAUCCACUCCCUUCUCUGGGCUUCCAUCCUCACCUCACAUGUGUUCUGACACCCCACGCCAUGCAGCCUAGUGCAGGGUGUCCAGGCUAAUGUGUGGUGAGUAAGGUGUCCACACAGGAGGGAGGCCUGUCAUGAGCACCUUCUGCACCCCACACAGGCACGGCUUGAACACCUCACUCUGGUUCACUGUGGCUCCCAUUCCAGAGUGACCAUUGACAUUGUGCUUUGUUUUUUUUUUAACUAAAGUUCUUUUGCUUUUUAAGAGAAUUGGGAUCAACACGUUUAGAACCAACAGUAUUUUCAAUUCCAUGACUCUCUCUUCUUUUUCCAUUAUAGGGAGAUAAUCAAGGGAACUCGUUUAGAGAAUGGUACCAGGAUAUCAGAAAUGUCGUUCUCUGGGCAGUGGUGUGAGAAUAAUGCUUUGGCUCCCUGGCAUCCGUUCCCAUUUCACGUGGUAUCAGUAGUUCACUGAGGAGAAUAACUUAGGGGAGAACCAACCACCUUCCAUUCUCAGGACACAGGAUUUGGACAGAGCAGACUCUAGCCGAUCAAAGGCUGGGACCUAAGCUGAGACAGAUCAGAACCUCUGACCAACUCUACAGGCAGCUAGAGCAGUGUGACAGAUUCUGCUUUGCUGGGACGGCCUCUGUAUAUCUCCCAUCCCACAGGCUCUUCUUAAAGGACUGUAACACUCCUCCCACUCACAGGCUGGGUUUUUGACCAUUUUUCUUAAUUGGGGCUGAGGAGGAGCUUUUGAUGGCACCAAGCAGUGAAAUACGGUAGAAGUGAUGCAGUAAGACUUCAAAGUCUGGGUAAUAAAAAGAACACAGCUUCUGUCUAGCUUGCUUUUUGGGAGAUGCUCACUCUGGGGAAAGCAACCAUCAGGUUGUGAAGAAGACCCGAUAUUCCCAUGACAGAGGCUACUUGAGAGGCCCUCACGGAGAGGAAGGGAUGUGCCUAGUGGACAGCCAGCAUCAACCACUGGGCACAUGUGAGCGAGCCUUCAGGUGAUUCUGGCCUCUGGGCAUCAAGCCUCCGCUGACACCAAGGAGAGCAGAGGGGAGUUAUCCACACUAAACCCAGAGCAAAACGCAGAUUCGUGGGCAAAAUCACUGUGGUUGUUGUUGUUUUAAAUCACUCAGUGCUUUAGGAAUGGAACAAGCCCUCUUCAGCCAUGGCCACCCCUUCUGUCCAUCCAUCUAAGCAUCAUCCUCACCACCCUUGUCUGAUCACUGACGGUUUUGCCUCCUCCACUAGAAGCAAGGAAUCUCAUCUCAAUACCCACAAGUCUCAAAUAGAACGGGGCCUCCAUAAAUGAUCAUCCUCAAUAAUGAGGUUCAAAGAGAGCCAAGGAAAUGAAGACAGUGUUGGAUCUAUCAUCACAAGACUCAGGUUGCUGAGGCUCAGGGACCGGCUACUGGCUGAUCAACAUCUCCAACCACCCCACGUGUAGCCGGCAGUUCCUGCUUUCUGUGAGUAUGGUCAGCACUGAGACAAGAGCUACAAGUGCUGGUGUGGUGACUGAUAAGCUCUUGUUCCACUCAGGCCCGAGGACUUGAUCAGAUGGCAGUGUGAGGCAUUCAGAGGGAAACUUAUGUGAUAACGGCCACAAAACUGAGGAGACCCUUGGAGUUAGACAAGGAGUAAGCAUCAGCCACUGUGACCUGGGCUGCCUUCCUAGGGACAGGGGCCACUGCCACUCCUGGUGGCAUUUCUUCUGUCCUACAGGGGAGAGUCAGGUGAGUGACUGUCCCCACCAACAGAGGCCCAGCAUCAUCCCACACAGGCUCAGUCCUGCUCAGAUGCUGCACUCAGACACAUCCUGGUGCUGGUCCGUCCAAGGAACUUUCUGAACUCCAGGUCCAACCUCCCUCAAACACCAGCAAAUCUGAUGCAUAAUGAAAACUCAGCAGGGCGGAACACUGUUCCCUACAAGGGCUAGUGGGUGUUGUUUUUCCCCAGGUCGUACUCUUGUCAUCUGGAAAGUGGGUUCUUUUACAAAGUCCUCUGGAAGGAGAUUGGAAGCUGGGAAUGAGAAUUAAUUAAUUCUCGAAGAAAGGGCAGCUUGGAGAAAGGGGCUGGCUUCUGAAAUCAAAGUAGGGCCCACUAGCUUUCCAACUCAAUGUCCUAAAACAUAUCGUCCAAUUCCAUUCCCUUCUCAAAGCUUUGUCACUCCCAUGCUGCCCAGUAAAGAAGCGAAGUAUCCAGUUGAUCCCAGAGCUGGCAGCAUCCCAAUUCCCUGAACACUGAUGUUCGGCUGGUUCACUCUCAAGUUCUCUCUGGUAAUUUUUCAGUCAAUGGGCACAGCAGCUUUGGCAGCUCUAUCUUGCCUGCUGCUCAGAACCCUACCAGGACUAUCCCAACCUACCCCCCUCAGAGGCUAACUGGGAGCCAUUCCUUUGGGCAGACAAGACAUUUAGUGGGCACCUACGACCUAUCAGGCUCAAGCAGAUACAGAGCAAACACAGCCCAGCAUCUUGAGCUCAUGUUCCGAACAUUACAGACCAGCAGACCAGUGAGGUCUGGAAAAGAAGAGAGGGGAGAGGACUCAGAGAACAUCAGGGAAAGGAUUUUCCAGGAUCCACCAGACCUUCAACGCUUGUUCCAAACACCAUUCCUGUCUGCCACCCAUGUGCCUGCAGCAGGAAUUAAGGAAUGAGGGCUGCUCUUCUCUUUGUCAGAGAGAGAAUCUGAGUAUGGAGGGUCUUAGGCAACGAGGAUCGCCACUCCAGGAACGCACAGGACACCCUACUUGGUUGGUGCUGGAUACUGCAGACCCCACUAUCUGUCACCCCAACUCCUUCCGCCCUGCUCUCCUUUGUCCCCAUCUCCCUGCUCAAGCCUGUGACUCCAUGAGCUCAGCAAGCAUGGUAGAAUUUUCUUCCAGGGAAAACAAUCAGGGGCCAUGAGGACAAUCCUUAUUCUUGUCACUAUCUGGCAUUUCUUCUGAUCCAGACUCCAGAGAAAAGAAAAAGCUACGAGGGGUUUCCUUGUGUGUGAGGACUUUGUGCUGACAGCAGCCACUGGCUACUGAGGAAGGUGAGGAGCAGCUGUGGCCCCACCCUUCUGCCCACACUUCACAGAGAACUGCCUUCUCAGGGGCUACAGAGCUGGGCCACAUAGUAACACAGAAGAGCCCUUCAGAGGACAGGGAAGCUUUGGGGAGAGAGGAACAGGUCAGUUCAAGGGGCCUGUUGAAGAGACGGGCUGGUCAAAGGCGCCAUCGGGAGGAGGCUGAGAUCGUGCUCCAUGCCCAGAGUGCACAGGGGAGAAAUUCAAAGUUUUGCUAAGAGAAAGGCAAGCUCUGCAUCUGACUGAACACCCAGAAUCUGCUCCAGGAACUGCCACUCAGCAUGGAACGCCAAGAAGCAGAGGACACGGAGAUGCUCAGCCCCAGGGCCCCACCCCUGUAAUUCCUCCUCACUCCAGUCCUGCCAUGUCCCAAGCCUUCCUGCCUCCUUCAUGGCUCCUGGGGUGCAUCUCCUGUGACUGCACGUCCCACUCUGCUCUGUGCAGCUUAACCCACUUCUCCCUGAGCCUCCACAACAUCCAGGAGCAGGAAGAACCCAGCAGGUCAUCCCUGUGAGAGGAACCAUCCCCCACCCAGACUACAAGCCUAGGAAUUUCUCCAAGGACAUUGUGUCACUAAGGGUAGGGCACGUUGCUCCACUGGUUCUUGCACACUUUAAUCCUGAGGUUUUGCAUCCCCCACGACCUCAUUCCUGUCCCUCCUUCCCAGCAUGACCCUUUCACUUGUCUCAGGGCUGUGGAGAAGGCAACCCCAUGACGGUCCCUGGAGUUUUUGUGAAUUACUUUCCUCUGCCCUGAGCUUGAAGAGGAAGGCCAACCUCACUGCCUCUGUGAGCCCCUUCAGGCUGCCCAGGAGGAGAGAGCUGGCAAAGCCAGGGAUAUUGUGCAGUGUGGCUGACUGGGAGCACCUUGGUGGGAACACUCCCUAGGCCAUAAAACUGCGGGAAGUAGAGCUUGAUAUCCAAAGGGAUGAGUAACACAUCUCUCACUACAAAGGCCACUAUAACACAGUCAGCCAGAUAUGUGUGGGGGACCCAACAAGAGGAAGACUCUUUUUAAGGUGAGAUCCCCAGCACUGUCCAUGCUCAGCGUGGGGUACAGCCAAGCUUGAGGAGAUCUGGGGCAGAGGGAACGAGCUAUAUCCUUAUGUACUCAGCCUUGUCACCAACUCAGUCUGUGGUCCUGUUACCCUGCAGGCAUAGGAGACUCUACCACAGCCACUUACAGUUAAAGUCUUCCUGGGUAGGAGAAGAAGGGAAUCAUCAGGGCCAGGCUGGGGCUCCAGAACUGAGGAAGGCCACAAAGGCUGUCCUGACCCACAUCUCACUACCAGCCCCCAAACAGGGACCACUUAACAGCAGGGCAUAAGGGAGGGGAGAAGCGGGAGAAGACCCAGCCCAGCCCCUCCUCCCCUGCCCACAGGAGGAGCCCAGUGGCUCCCUUGUAUGGAACAAGGUGGCCCAGGACAUUGUCUCCUUUGGAAAAAAGAAUGGGAAACAUUCACCUGUCUACACCAGGACCUUGAGCUUUCUACCCUGAGGAAAAACUGCCUCCAGGAUUGAUCCAUCUGUCUUCUCUGGGGCAGAAGCCAGCAAAGCACUGGGUAGAGCAGGAUGGAGAGGAGACUGCCAGGGACUUACUAAACUUCCAUCCUUAGAGUGGAAAUCAUUAAUUCUUUCUUUAUUCACCAAAAUGUCCUAGAGCCUAUAGCAUAUUGAGCAAAUUUUUCAACAAUCUCUGAAUCUUGUAUAUAAGAAUGGAUUAAGAAAAUUAAACUCAUUUUUAAAAUAUCCACCUUAGAGAAGGCUAGACUAGAAAGAAAUGGUAUGCUAAAUGCUUGCCAUUGAUGAGUGUGCUUCAACUACAGGAAAAUGUUUUCUGGGUAGAAAAGUAAUACAUGUUCAUCAUAGAAAGAAAGUUAAAGGAAGAAUAGACAAACAAGAAUGUUAAAAUUCCCAAGAAUUUCACCUCCCCCAGAUCAUCAUCAUUAGUGCUUAAGCACGUUGCCUUCCCCUCUUUUUCUGUGUCUUCAUAAUGUUCCAUUGUUUUAACAGAAUUGGGAUUGGGCUGUUUAGAAUUCAUAAUGUCUUCUUUUCCACUACUCUCUCAUCUGUCAUCAUUCUGGAGAGGAUGUUGGGAUAAUCUGUUGGCAAAUGCUUCUGUUAGGUCCAGGCACAUCAGAGCCAUGAUUCACUGGACCCGGGACAGAGAGUACUUAGUGGAUAGUGAUUAUUAGGAUGAUCGGCAUCCAUUUCCCCAUCAGCUGUCACCAGGAACCAGCAUUUCUCAAGGGGAACUCCCUCCUCAGAAAACAGACACUCUGACUGAGGUGGAACAAUCCCCCCUUCAGGUCCAGGGGUGCUCAAUGACUCAAGAAUAAACCACUUAGGCAUUGAAUUCUGAUGGACUCAAUGAUGGUUUGUUUUGGUCCCAUGAAUAUCAAGUCCAGGAUUUCACUCAAAACUGUGGGAUAAAGAAAUCUCUCUUUGUCACAGAAUAUUUGCAUUUAAAGAGGGGAUUCUAAAUAUUCCAAAACAUGAGGCUGGACUUGUGGUCAGAGAGGCAGUGAGGUUACCACCAGGGAUCUCUGUGUGUCCAGCUCUACAUGCUCCUAGGGCAGGUCCAGGCUCCAUCUCCCACCACCAAGCAGACCCCCACCACAGCCCUUACUGGCCUACACUCUAACCACAGAUUCUCAGUCUACUCAAGGCGACCGCCAUCUUCUCAAGGGCAGGAGCCAUCUCACUCAUCUCCUUGGACCUAGAUUCCUAAAUAGUUAUUCAUGACUUCAACAGGAUGGAAAAAGAGCCAAGAGCUGAGAAACGGAGACAUUCUAGAUUCAGUCACUGAGGGGCUUCUGGGAUCCAGCUCCUCUGCUGGCUGCAGCACAGGCUUCACUUUCUUGUUCUUUCUUCUUGAUUUCACCUUGUGACUUGGGAGUGCAAGUGUGGUUGGUGGCAGUGCUACUGUCACCUAAGACAAUCCAGAGAACUUUGACAAACCGCCUUGCAGAUGACACAAGAAAACGAGAAGAGCACAGGUCUAGGAGGUCUGUGAAGUCUUGAGCCACCACUCCUGCCUUCACCUUGGGGACCUUGUGUCUGGAAAGAAGUAACACCAGCAGCUGUGACCUUGGCAGACCUUCAGGAAAGAUGCAGCCACUCCUGCUAUUGUUAGCAUUUCUGCUGCCUCCUAAGACUGGGACAGGAGUGUGACCAUCCCCAUUCCAGAAACCCCAGCCCACCUAACAAAACCCUCUGGACUCCUCACCCUUCUGCCCAGCACAGUCAGGGAUUUUCCUCAGUUUGAGCCCAAGAACUUUCUAGAUGCCAGCCUCUAUCCCAAACCUACACUAAGUCGUCCAAUGCUGCAUAGACACUCAAAAAGGAUGGCAGGAAAGAAGGUCGUUCACUAGAAGGUUUAGUGUAUAAGCUUCUCUCUUAUCACCUGGGAAGUGGGUUGUUCAUAGAAAGGCAUUUGGCAGACGACAUGAAGCUACAAAUGACAAGUAGUUAAAAUCCUUCACUCCAACCCAAGAAAGGGCUGCUCAGAAAAAUCGGGUGUGGUAAUGAGAGUUGUCCUGGACCCAACUUAAGAUUCAGUUUCAUUUCCUGGUAACUUCACCCCCUCACCCCCGCUGAGGAGAGAAACCCAGGGAGCAGCUGAUCUCUGAAGGGGCUGGAUCACUAGAUGCAGGGCGCCCUGUUGCCAUGGCUCUGCCACGGUCCUGGGCAGCACAAUUUCAGCCCCACCUCCACCUGCCAUCUCAGGCCUUCAGCUGCUCCACACAGUGUCCCAUCUGCAGGCCAAUGGCCUUCAAUUCCACCAUCAGGAUCCCCACCAAACCUCAGCAGAAAGCUAAGUGAAGGACAUUCAUUCACGCAGCCACACAAUGUUUACUGAGAUGCUAGGGCGGGUUAGAUACUCGGGCAUGAGGAUUGUAGAAAACCCAGCACCAUAAGCUCACAGAUAGAUUAUUAGAUACGGGCACCAGUUGAGAGAUUAGUAGAGGCUCAGAGGGGUUGGGAGAUGCACUGAGACAGAAGGCAUAGCAGAGCCCCAUCCACGAUCCCCUGGGCUCCACCAUCGUGAAGACAGCUCUGAUCUCCUACAUGCAUGGUCUGAAGUAGGACAGGGAAAACAAGCACUGUCCUCCCUUUUCUCACAGGAGAUUCUGAGGCUUGACAUUCAGAAAAUGUUCUUCUCUUGCUAGGAGAACCUGGGAGGACACUCCCCGGUGGCAGCAGGGCACUAUAGACCCCACCCUCAAUCACCACCUUCGAGAGCCUUCCCUCCUGACCCCAGCUGCUCCCAGAAAGCCCAUCUUCCAGUCUUUUCUUUCAGAGAACAUCAUCGGAGGACAUGAGGCCAAGCCCCACUCCCGCCCCUACACGGUGUUUGUUCAGUUUCUGCUUGAGAACAAAAAGAAGAGGUGUGGCGGUGUCCUCGUGCUAGAGAACUUUGUUCUGAUGGCUGCUCACUGCCGGGGAAGGGGGACUCCGGAGGCCCCCUCAUCUGCAACAAGCUGAACCAGGGUAUUUUCUCCUAUGGACAAAACAACGGGACCCCUCCAGGAGUCUUCAUGAAGGUCUCACACUUUCUGCCCUGGAUAAAGUCAACAAUGAAGCGCUUCUAACAGCAGGCAGGAGGCUGACCUUCCUCUGUGCCUGACCAUCUUUCCUGGGGCAGAGGCAGGACUCCCAUGGGGCGGGCAGUGGGACUGAGGGGCCAUAAUAAAUGGAUCUCUAGCGAGUGUGA
This is a non-coding RNA of Equus caballus (horse), 8446 nucleotides long. NCBI's taxonomy places the organism in Eukaryota, Metazoa, Chordata, Mammalia, Perissodactyla, Equidae. The record is from RefSeq and is a predicted model, not a curated record.